Molecule: ribosomal RNA, 487 nt
Filed under: uncultured bacterium
Lineage: Bacteria
Description: bacterial SSU rRNA
Rfam family: Bacterial small subunit ribosomal RNA
Source: RNAcentral
GAACGCUAGCGGCAGGCUUAACACAUGCAAGUCGAGGGGCAGCAUGAUGAAACUUCGGGUUUCAUUGAUGGCGACCGGCGCGAAGGGUGCGUAACGCGUGAGCAACUUGCCCUUAUCAGGGGGAUAACCGGUGGAAACGCCGACUAAUACCCCAUAGCAUCACUUUAAGGCAUCUUUUAGUGAUUAAAGAAUUUCGGAUAAGGAUAGGCUCGCGUGACAUUAGCUAGAUGGCGGGGUAACGGCCCACCAUGGCGACGAUGUCUAGGGGUUCUGAGAGGAAGGUCCCCCACACUGGAACUGAGACACGGUCCAGACUCCUACGGGAGGCAGCAGUGAGGAAUAUUGGUCAAUGGUCUGACGACUGAACCAGCCAUGCCGCGUGAAGGUGACGGCCCUAUGGGUCUUAAACUUCUUUUGUAAGGGAGCAAUAAGGUCUACGUGUAGAUUGAUGAGAGUACCUUACGAAUAAGCAUCGGCUAACUCCGUG